AAUAGAUACCCAGGUAGUCCACGCCCUAAACUAUGUCGACUAGUUGUUGGGGGAGUCUGUCCCUCAGUAACGUAGCUAACGCGUGAAGUCGACCGCCUGGGGAGUACGGUCGCAAGAUUAAAACUCAAAGGAAUUGACGGGGACCCGCACAAGCGGUGGAUUAUGUGGAUUAAUUCGAUGCAACGCGAAGAACCUUACCUACCCUUGACAUGCCAGGAACCUCGCAGAGAUGUGAGGGUGCCCGAAAGGGAACCUGGACACAGGUGCUGCAUGGCUGUCGUCAGCUCGUGUCGUGAGAUGUUGGGUUAAGUCCCGCAACGAGCGCAACCCUUGUCAUUAGUUGCUACGUAAGGGCACUCUAAUGAGACUGCCGGUGACAAACCGGAGGAAGGUGGGGAUGACGUCAGGUCAUCAUGGCCCUUAUGGGUAGGGCUACACACGUCAUACAAUGGCCGGUACAGAGGGUUGCCAACCCGCGAGGGGGAGCCAAUCCCAGAAAACCGGUCGUAGUCCGGAUCGCAGUCUGCAA
Molecule: ribosomal RNA, 529 nt
Filed under: uncultured bacterium
Lineage: Bacteria
Description: bacterial SSU rRNA
Rfam family: Bacterial small subunit ribosomal RNA
Source: RNAcentral